CGGUCACAGCGAAGGUGUUUACCCGGUCCCAUCCCGAACCCGGAAGUCAAGCCCUUCUGCGUCUGUCCCAAUACUGUGGUACGAGAGUCCACGGGAACGGCAG
Molecule: ribosomal RNA, 103 nt
Filed under: Candidatus Poseidoniaceae archaeon
Lineage: Archaea; Methanobacteriati; Thermoplasmatota; Candidatus Poseidoniia; Candidatus Poseidoniales; Candidatus Poseidoniaceae
Source: RNAcentral